GUGCCAGCCGCCGCGGUAAUACGGAGGGUGCUAGCGUUGUUCGGAAUUACUGGGCGUAAAGAGCUUGUAGGCGGCUUGCUCAGUCCGAUGUGAAAGCCCCCGGCUCAACCGGGGAAGUGCAUUGGAUACUGGCGAGCUUGAGUAUGGGAGAGGAGAGCGGAAUUCCCGGUGUAGAGGUGAAAUUCGUAGAUAUCGGGAGGAACACCAGUGGCGAAGGCGGCUCUCUGGACCAAUACUGACGCUGAGAAGCGAAAGCGUGGGGAGCAAACAGGAUUAGAUACCCCCGUAGUCC
Molecule: ribosomal RNA, 292 nt
Filed under: uncultured bacterium
Lineage: Bacteria
Description: partial 16S ribosomal RNA
Rfam family: Bacterial small subunit ribosomal RNA
Source: RNAcentral